UACGUAGGGGGCAAGCGUUGUCCGGAAUCAUUGGGCGUAAAGCGCGUGUAGGCGGGUCGGUAAGUCCGCUCUGAAAGCCCGGGGCUCAACCCCGGGAGGCGGGUGGAUACUGUCGACCUCGAGUCCGGAAGAGGCGAGUGGAAUUCCUGGCGUAGCGGUGAAAUGCGCAGAUAUCAGGAGGAACACCAAUGGCGAAGGCAGCUCGCUGGGACGGUACUGACGCUGAGACGCGAAAGCGUGGGGAGCAAACAGG
This 253-nucleotide ribosomal RNA is filed under the name uncultured bacterium. RNAcentral's name for it is "partial 16S ribosomal RNA". It matches the Rfam family "Bacterial small subunit ribosomal RNA", at positions 524 to 776 of the family's 1533-position model. The record is from RNAcentral.